Molecule: long non-coding RNA, 367 nt
Filed under: Monodelphis domestica (gray short-tailed opossum)
Lineage: Eukaryota; Metazoa; Chordata; Mammalia; Didelphimorphia; Didelphidae
Description: lncRNA (ENSMODG00000043448.1)
Source: RNAcentral
ACAAACCAGGCUCAGUUCUGGGAGUGGAUAAAGGAGCCAUUUUCUUGCUUUUCCUUAGGCCCCUACCUCAGCCACUUUGAGAAAACGUCCUGAAUAAAACUCAGGCACAGACCAUAUUUUAAAAAGUGGUUCCCUAGUCCUUGAACCCCAUCUGAUGCUCCAAGUGUGACAAUCCAGGACUGCUGGCAAGGCAGGAGGAGGGAUGGAGCUUUGUUGGACACAUCAGAAUGCAGGGCUAAGCAUUCCCAGUGUCUUCAGUGAUCCUCAGCAGCAUGGACUCAAGGCCCUCCACCAUUCAUCAUGAGUUGGCUGCCUGCUCUUGCUGCGGCGGCGGCUCAUCCUUCACUUUUAUUUCCCGUGAUCCGAG